Long non-coding RNA from Schistocerca americana (American grasshopper), 171 nucleotides. RefSeq lists it as uncharacterized. The record is from RefSeq and is a predicted model, not a curated record. Lineage: Eukaryota; Metazoa; Arthropoda; Insecta; Orthoptera; Acrididae. The transcript is spliced from 3 exons.
GCCACAUUAACCGCCCAUCUGUGGAGCCGGAACCCGAGUGUAUUAUCGUGCAGGAAUAAGAUCUGUCACGACGCCUUGCAAACUGGAGCGCUACGACCCAGACAGCGCGGGCUGUGGCUCCAGCAGUCCCAGCACCGCCACUCGGCCACUCGGCGACCCCGGACGCUCUCC